GACGAACGCUGGCGGCACGCUUAACACAUGCAAGUCGAACGAGAGAAGAGGAGCUUGCUUUUCUGAUCUAGUGGCGGACGGGUGAGUAACACGUGAGCAAUCUGCCUUUCAGAGGGGGAUACCGAUUGGAAACGAUCGUUAAUACCGCAUAAUAUAAUUGAACCGCAUGAUUUGAUUAUCAAAGAUUUAUCGCUGAAAGAUGAGCUCGCGUCUGAUUAGCUAGUUGGUAAGGUAACGGCUUACCAAGGCGACGAUCAGUAGCCGGACUGAGAGGUUGAUCGGCCACAUUGGGACUGAGACACGGCCCAGACUCCUACGGGAGGCAGCAGUGGGGAAUAUUGCACAAUGGAGGAAACUCUGAUGCAGCGAUGCCGCGUGAGGGAAGAAGGUUUUAGGAUUGUAAACCUCUGUCUUCAGGGACGAAAAAAGACGGUACCUGAGGAGGAAGCUCCGGCUAACUACGUGCCAGCAGCCGCGGUAAUACGUAGGGAGCGAGCGUUGUCCGGAAUUACUGGGUGUAAAGGGAGCGUAGGCGGGAUCGCAAGUCAGAUGUGAAAACUAUGGGCUUAACCCAUAAACUGCAUUUGAAACUGUGGUUCUUGAGUGAAGUAGAGGUAAGCGGAAUUCCUAGUGUAGCGGUGAAAUGCGCAGAUAUUAGGAGGAACAUCAGUGGCGAAGGCGGCUUACUGGGCUUUAACUGACGCUGAGGCUCGAAAGCGUGGGGAGCAAACAGGAUUAGAUACCCUGGUAGUCCACGCCGUAAACGAUGAUUACUAGGUGUGGGGGGACUGACCCCUUCCGUGCCGCAGCAAACGCAAUAAGUAAUCCACCUGGGGAGUACGACCGCAAGGUUGAAACUCAAAGGAAUUGACGGGGGCCCGCACAAGCAGUGGAGUAUGUGGAUUAAUUCGAAGCAACGCGAAGAACCUUACCAGGUCUUGACAUCGUAUGCAUAGCUCAGAGAUGAGUGAAAUCUCUUCGGAGACAUAUAGACAGGUGGUGCAUGGUUGUCGUCAGCUCGUGUCGUGAGAUGUUGGGUUAAGUCCCGCAACGAGCGCAACCCUUACUGUUAGUUGCUACGCAAGAGCACUCUAGCAGGACUGCCGUUGACAAAACGGAGGAAGGUGGGGAUGACGUCAAAUCAUCAUGCCCCUUAUGACCUGGGCCUCACACGUACUACAAUGGCUGUCAACAGAGGGAAGCAAAGCCGCGAGGUGGAGCGAACCCCUAAAAGCAGUCUUAGUUCGGAUUGUAGGCUGCAACCCGCCUACAUGAAGUCGGAAUUGCUAGUAAUCGCAGAUCAGCAUGCUGCGGUGAAUACGUUCCCGGGCCUUGCACA
Molecule: ribosomal RNA, 1339 nt
Filed under: uncultured bacterium
Lineage: Bacteria
Description: bacterial SSU rRNA
Rfam family: Bacterial small subunit ribosomal RNA
Source: RNAcentral